CUGCAUUAUGGAUUAAUUUCUGUAUUCUCUUCCUCAAUGUACAAGUAAGGUGGCAGUUAUAUAAAAUCAUACACAAUAAAAUCAGGACUAUAAUAACAAAAGGAUAGAAGAAUGAUUUCAUUAUCUGGGAUCCAGUAGGGGACCAACCAGUAAAGCAUUGUACCAAUGAUGGGCUAAAUCAUUCUGAAUUUGUGAACUCACCUUAAGGAGUUCUCCUUUUAGGAUAUGUGUGGCUACCUGUGUGUGUUAUCUUUGGGAAAAAUAUAGUCCCCUGUGUAUGUGGGUGCCCACCAGGUUAAAUUCAUGGCACAGAGAUCAUAAACUGGUACUGGUAAUGUGUUAAAUUGACAAGCUAAUUUAACAUCCUUUGAUGAUGUAUGAUAUAGUGUAAAAUAGCA
This is a non-coding RNA of Pelobates cultripes (western spadefoot toad), 398 nucleotides long. The record is from the annotation of a GenBank genome assembly. NCBI's taxonomy places the organism in Eukaryota, Metazoa, Chordata, Amphibia, Anura, Pelobatidae.